RNAcentral lists this ribosomal RNA (327 nucleotides) under Mimetus sp. GH1628. Its description in RNAcentral is "partial 12S ribosomal RNA". Lineage: Eukaryota; Metazoa; Arthropoda; Arachnida; Araneae; Mimetidae. The record is from RNAcentral.
AUCUAGAUAAAACAGGUACUAAUUAAAUUAACUAAACCUUUAUAAAAUGGCGGCAUUAUAUCUUUUUUAGAGGAACAUGUUUACUCAUCGACUCCACACGAUCAAUUUCACUUAUUUUAAAAUUUUAUAUACCACCAUUAAACAAAUUUAUAUAAAAAUAUUUUUUAAAUAAAAAUCUAAAAUAUUAGGUAAAGGUGUAAACAAUAAAUAAGUAAAAAUGUGUUACAUUAAAAUUAAUUUAAGGACAUUAAUUUAAAAAUAAUUAUAAAAGGGAUUUAAAAGUAAUAUAAACUUAAUAUCUAAAUAUGAAUAAAUUAAUAAAUGUGC